UACGAAGGGUGCGAGCGUUGUCCGGAAUUAUUGGGCGUAAAGAGCUCGUAGGCGGUUUGUCGCGUCUGCUGUGAAAACCCGAGGCUCAACCUCGGGCCUGCAGUGGGUACGGGCAGACUAGAGUGCGGUAGGGGAGAUUGGAAUUCCUGGUGUAGCGGUGGAAUGCGCAGAUAUCAGGAGGAACACCGGUGGCGAAGGCGGGUCUCUGGGCCGAUACUGACGCUGAGGAGCGAAAGCGUGGGGAGCGAACAGG
Molecule: ribosomal RNA, 253 nt
Filed under: uncultured bacterium
Lineage: Bacteria
Description: partial 16S ribosomal RNA
Rfam family: Bacterial small subunit ribosomal RNA
Source: RNAcentral